GACAUUUUGGGACAAAUGGAUUUGUCUGUCUCAAAAAAAUUUUAUCAGAUAAAAGCUUUGUUUUUACAGCACAGUGUCACAAUCUGCAUGCUCUCUUUUCCUGCAUCAUUUAUCAUCAUAAAUUACAUAUCCUUUCUCUGGCAGCAUACUAUAUUUAUGGAUGCCUUGGCAUAUUCUUGUAUUCUUUGCACCCAAGGAAAAUGCUUUGCUUACCUUGUCCUUGUUAUCGGAAUUGAUUUUCAAAGAUUUAAAUUGCCAUUAUUUUGUUUUUAGAAUAAAAGAUUUUAUUAAAGAAUAAAAUAGUCAUAUUGAACAUGACAAAAAAAGUAUGAG
This 333-nucleotide long non-coding RNA is filed under the name Androctonus crassicauda. Lineage: Eukaryota; Metazoa; Arthropoda; Arachnida; Scorpiones; Buthidae. The record is from RNAcentral.